RNAcentral lists this ribosomal RNA (277 nucleotides) under uncultured bacterium. RNAcentral's name for it is "partial small subunit ribosomal RNA". It matches the Rfam family "Bacterial small subunit ribosomal RNA", at positions 26 to 287 of the family's 1533-position model. The record is from RNAcentral.
AGAGCGAACGUUAGCGGCAGGCCUAACACAUGCAAGUCGCACGAGAAUUGGGCUUCGGCCCAUAGUAAAGUGGCGGACGGGUGAGUAACACGUGGAUAAUCUGCCCUUCGGCGGGGGACAACAGUCCGAAAGGAUUGCUAAUACCGCGUACGUCGACGACGCCCUCGGGUGUUGUCGGGAAAGACGGCCUCUUCAUGAAAGCUGUCACCGAAGGAUGAGUCCGCGGCCCAUCAGCUAGUUGGUGGGGUAAUGGCCCACCAAGGCUUAGACGGGUAGC